Long non-coding RNA from Etheostoma spectabile (orangethroat darter), 110 nucleotides. RefSeq lists it as uncharacterized. The record is from RefSeq and is a predicted model, not a curated record. The transcript is spliced from 3 exons. NCBI's taxonomy places the organism in Eukaryota, Metazoa, Chordata, Actinopteri, Perciformes, Percidae.
UUGUGACCUAACUUGAUUUAAAAUAAGUCAACGUUGACCUUUGGUUUCACACUGAACACGAACAGCAGUCUCCUGCAUGAAAGUCUCCAUGUUUGUCUGACCCAUCCAUC